RNAcentral lists this ribosomal RNA (500 nucleotides) under uncultured bacterium. RNAcentral describes it as "partial 16S ribosomal RNA". It matches the Rfam family "Bacterial small subunit ribosomal RNA", at positions 29 to 523 of the family's 1533-position model. The record is from RNAcentral.
AUUGAACGCUGGCGGCAUGCCUUACACAUGCAAGUCGAACGGCAGCGCGGGAGCAAUCCUGGCGGCGAGUGGCGAACGGGUGAGUAAUAUAUCGGAACGUGCCCUAGAGUGGGGGAUAACUAGUCGAAAGAUUAGCUAAUACCGCAUACGAUCUACGGAUGAAAGUGGGGGAUCGCAAGACCUCAUGCUCGUGGAGCGGCCGAUAUCUGAUUAGCUAGUUGGUAGGGUAAAAGCCUACCAAGGCCACGAUCAGUAGCUGGUCUGAGAGGACGACGAGCGACACGAGGACUGAGACACGGCCCAGACGCCGACGGGAGGCAGCAGUGGGGAAUGUUGGACAAUGGGGGAAACCCUGAUUCAGCAAUGCCGCGUGUGUGAAGAAGGCCUUCGGGUUGUAAAGCACUUUUGUCCGGAACGAAACGGGCCGAGCUAAUAUCUUGGCCUAAUGACGGUACCGGAAGAAUAAGCACCGGCUAACUACGUGCCAGCCGCCGCAGUAA